CAUAGGUUAAUGAGGCGAACCGGGGGAACUGAAACAUCUAAGUACCCCGAGGAAAAGAAAUCAACCGAGAUUCCCCCAGUAGCGGCGAGCGAACGGGGAGCAGCCCAGAGCCUGAAUCAGUAUGUGUGUUAGUGGAAGCGUCUGGAAAGGCGCGCGAUACAGGGUGACAGCCCCGUACACAAAAAUGCACAUGCUGUGAGCUCGAUGAGUAGGGCGGGACACGUGGUAUCCUGUCUGAAUAUGGGGGGACCAUCCUCCAAGGCUAAAUACUCCUGACUGACCGAUAGUGAACCAGUACCGUGAGGGAAAGGCGAAAAGAACCCCGGCGAGGGGAGUGAAAAAGAACCUGAAACCGUGUACGUACAAGCAGUGGGAGCACGCUUAGGCGUGUGACUGCGUACCUUUUGUAUAAUGGGUCAGCGACUUAUAUUCUGUAGCAAGGUUAACCGAAUAGGGGAGCCGAAGGGAAACCGAGUCUUAACUGGGCGUUAAGUUGCAGGGUAUAGACCCGAAACCCGGUGAUCUAGCCAUGGGCAGGUUGAAGGUUGGGUAACACUAACUGGAGGACCGAACCGACUAAUGUUGAAAAAUUAGCGGAUGACUUGUGGCUGGGGGUGAAAGGCCAAUCAAACCGGGAGAUAGCUGGUUCUCCCCGAAAGCUAUUUAGGUAGCGCCUCGUGAAUUCAUCUCCGGGGGUAGAGCACUGUUUCGGCAAGGGGGUCAUCCCGACUUACCAACCCGAUGCAAACUGCGAAUACCGGAGAAUGUUAUCACGGGAGACACACGGCGGGUGCUAACGUCCGUCGUGAAGAGGGAAACAACCCAGACCGCCAGCUAAGGUCCCAAAGUCAUGGUUAAGUGGGAAACGAUGUGGGAAGGCCCAGACAGCCAGGAUGUUGGCUUAGAAGCAGCCAUCAUUUAAAGAAAGCGUAAUAGCUCACUGGUCGAGUCGGCCUGCGCGGAAGAUGUAACGGGGCUAAACCAUGCACCGAAGCUGCGGCAGCGACGCUGAUGCGUUGUUGGGUAGGGGAGCGUUCUGUAAGCCUGCGAAGGUGUGCUGUGAGGCAUGCUGGAGGUAUCAGAAGUGCGAAUGCUGACAUAAGUAACGAUAAAGCGGGUGAAAAGCCCGCUCGCCGGAAGACCAAGGGUUCCUGUCCAACGUUAAUCGGGGCAGGGUGAGUCGACCCCUAAGGCGAGGCCGAAAGGCGUAGUCGAUGGGAAACAG
This 1225-nucleotide ribosomal RNA is filed under the name Escherichia coli. RNAcentral describes it as "partial 23S ribosomal RNA". It matches the Rfam family "Bacterial large subunit ribosomal RNA", at positions 165 to 1428 of the family's 2925-position model. The record is from RNAcentral. Lineage: Bacteria; Pseudomonadati; Pseudomonadota; Gammaproteobacteria; Enterobacterales; Enterobacteriaceae.